RNAcentral lists this ribosomal RNA (469 nucleotides) under uncultured bacterium. RNAcentral describes it as "SSU rRNA". It matches the Rfam family "Bacterial small subunit ribosomal RNA", at positions 26 to 518 of the family's 1533-position model. The record is from RNAcentral.
AGGACGAACGCUGGCGGCGUGCUUAACACAUGCAAGUCGAGCGGAAAGGCCCUUCGGGGUACUCGAGCGGCGAACGGGUGAGUAAUGCUUGGGAAUCUGCCCAUUAGUGGGGAACAACCAGCCGAAAGGUUGGCUAAUACCGCAUACGCCCUACGGGGGAAAGCGGGGGAUCGUAAGACCUCGCGCUAAUGGAUGAGCCCAAGUCGGAUUAGCUUGUUGGGGGGUAACGGCCCACCAAGGCGACGACGGGUAGCCGGCCUGAGAGGGCGACCGGCCACACUGGGACUGAGACACGGCCCAGACUCCUACGGGAGGCAGCAGUGGGGAAUAUUGCACAAUGGGCGAAAGCCUGAUGCAGCGACGCGCGUGCGGGAUGAAGGCCUUCGGGUUGUAAACGCUUUCACCAGGACGAAGCGAGAGUGACGGUACCUGGGGAAGAAGCGCCGGCUAACUACGUGCCAGCAGCCGC